CCAAACCAUCUUUUUAAAAAUCAUUUUCAUAGGGUUCUCUAGUCCAUGAGUGAGUUUCCUGUAGCAACAAUACUUACUGCUUAGGAGGAAGCUCAUCCAAAUUGUGGGCAGAAAUAGUUACUUGAAAAUUUCUCAUGAGGUCAGUCUGUGGCCUGCCUUUUUGUGAGUUGCACUUAGCUGUUCCGUUUGAGUUAUUUGCAUCUACCUCUGACAAGUUUAAUUUUAUUAUGUGUCUAUAUUUAAGUGUCUUCCCUAACACCUUAAUUAUUAACAACAUUACUAGCUCUACAAGUACUAAUAACUGAGAUUUAUUGGGUUAUUAACAUAUGCUAGAUACUGUUCAAUGGAAAUACGUGCAUUGUCUAAGUACACACAAUAAUCUGAUAAAUUAGGUAAAACUGAAUUCUUUCUAUGGGAUCUAAUAUGUGUUUAUUUAUUUUCCCACUGUACAGCAUGGGGACCAAGUUACACAUACAUGUAUACAUUCUUUUCCCUCCCAUUGUUCUGUUGGGAUGUUAAGUGUCUAGACAUAGUUCUCAAUGCUACACAGCAGGAUUUCAUUGUAAAUCCAUUCCAAGAGCAAUAGUUUGCAUCCGAUAACCCCAAGCUUCCAAUCCCUCCCACUCCUUCCCUCUCCCCCGGGCAGCCACAAGCCUAUUCUCCAAGUCUUUGAGUUUCUUUUCUGUGGAAAUGUUCAUUUGUGCUGUAUAUUAGAUUCCAGAUAUAAGUGAUAUCCUAUGGUAUUUGUCUUUCUCUUUCUGAAUUACUUCACUCAGUAUGAGAGUUUCUAGUUCCAUCUAUGUUGCUGCAAAUGGCAUUAGUUUGUUCUUUUUUAUGGCUGAGUAGUAUUCCAUUGUGUAUAUUUACCACAUCUUCCUAAUCCGAUCAUCCAUUGGACAUUUGGGUUGUUUCCAUGUCUUGGCUAUUGUGCAAUGAACAUGAGGGUGUAUGUGUCUUUUUUAAGGAAAGUUUUGUCUGGAUAUAUGCCCAAGAAUGGGAUUGAUGCGUCAUACGUAGUUCUGUGUAUAGAUUUCUAAGGUACCUCCAUACUGUUCUCCAUAGUGGUUGUACCAGCUUACAUUCCCACCAACAGUGCAGGAGGGUUCCCUUUUCAAUGGGAUCUAAUAAAAUCAACUUAAGUGAAAGCUGAGCAUCAGUUAAAAGAUACAUAACUUAGUCAUUUUUGAACUUAAAUACUCAUUCUACUUACAUAGCUUUUUGAGUAGGGUCAGAAAGUAUUUUUUUUCCAUGUGUUUCCAUUGAUGGGGACCCAUGAAGUCUUUUCUAUCAUAAGACAUUGUUACUGCGAAUGAUCUAUAAUUUUUGGUUCAGGAGAAAAAGUACUUCAAGGGGACCUAGAAAGGAAUUUGUGUUCAAACCUUUUUCACAGAUCUCUUACAACUAAUUCACCAGAAUUUUUCUCCUGUGUAGUUCAAAGAUACAUUUUUUUUUUCUAACACACUCAGCAUGGAAGGAAAAAAGCCUUUUCUGUCAAUAGUUAACGUUUCAAUCACUUAUGUAUUACUUAAUUAAAUUUCUUAAUUAUAAUAGCAGGUACAGUUGUCGUAAAUGUUUAGGAAAAUUUUUUUUUUCCCUCCACCUGCAUCUUGUGGGGAACUAAACUGGUGUUAAAAGAAGUGUGGAUCAUACGAUGUCUUGAUUCCACAAUCACCUUGUCAGCCACAAUUACACAAGGCACAUGGACAUUCAACUGCGCAGUUUAGGGAAGGACGGAGAACUCUUUAAGUUCAUCCAGUCAGUGUAGAUAACUUACAUUAUCCCAAGAUCCCAAGCUAGCUAAUUGGGAGCCCAAGAUGCCAACCAAAGCUGUCAGAAUUCAGAGACCAGCUUUUAGUCAUCACACUACACUAUGGACUAGCAGUUGUCUUCUUUCUUCACUUCUCACAAAAUUUCCACAAUAAUGAUACUUUGCAUACCUUUCACAACCCAGUCUUCCUUCUGCAGUUGAUUUGAAAUCCUGUUAUAGAUAAUUACUUGGUUGUCUCUCUUUCUUUCUUUGUGUUAAAAUUUAUCUUUCCCCCAUUGCCAGCUUCUCAAGAGCAAUGGCCUUCAGUAGUCUUAAUAACAUUACAGAGAUGGUACAUGGCUGCUAGUACUGCAGAAGUAUCUUCCACUAGUUCUCACUUGAAUUGUAACAUUGAUCUGUGAUAAUAAAUAUUCUAAAGUGACCAACCUAAAGCUCUUCAGAAACAGACUUCAUCCAGAACACUCAACUCCUUCUCUUGCUUGCAGUUUGCUACUUGGCAUAUGUCCUCCAUGCACUAGUACAAACUUUACUCUAUAGCAUUUUUCCUUAAGUUAUUUACCUAUUGUGAAAGUUUACUUGUGUAGUAUGUGCAAAUGAAUGAAACUCUUUUUGAGGUUAAUCAUAACUUAUUUUCUCUGAGCUACUCUUGAAAAAAAUCUGUGAUAAAGAAGAUACAUACGUAUUAGAGUUUCUGGAAAAUUAACAGCGUAAGUAACACAUACACACCGUAUCUGGAAUAUGAUAAAUGAAAAAUACAUGCUAGAAUUUUUAGCAUUAUCAUCAAGUAUUAUAUAUUGUUGACUGACAAUCAUAUAGAUUUUUUUUCCCUUAAAAUCACUCUGAUUUUUGCUGUCUCAAAACAAAAAUCAGAACCAAAACAAGUUUUUGUUUACUCAGUGGUUCUUUCUUAAAAUCAGCAUGUGUUCCGAUACUAGCUACUAUAUUAUGUAUUAUAUUAUCCCCACUUAUGCCUCUUCAGUAAGUGCAACAUACAAAUAAAAAUUGAUGGGGAAACACUCAUAAGUAUUGAGGCAUCAUCUAUGUCUGGCCAGCCAGCCCAUUUCAAAGUAUUCGAUACUUUUUGUUCUCCUUUGUAUUAACACAUUCCUAUUAAUUUUUCUUAAAAUAAUUGUGAUUUAUAUUGAGGUGUUUCUGUAUACCUUCUUGGCAAUCUAAAGAAUGUCAGUUUUCACAUAAUGGAACCAAUUCAUAGGCUUACUUAGAAAAUAAGCAAAGUAAAUCUUGUAGUCUAAUAAUUUAUAUGAGAAAGAAGCUGUCCAGAACAUACAUCAGAUUAUAAAUGGAAGCUGGGGAUAUAGGAGAUGGAGACAAUAGUUAAGAGCUUCUAAAUGUAUCACUGAUUAGGAAGACAUUAAAACAUUUAGAUAAUGGAACAGGCAAAUCAACAACAAUAGCAAUCAACAAAAGGAAGCUCUUAGUGGUAUAUCUUUAAUACAAUUCAAGGUGGUUACACUUCCUUGAGCACUCCAACUAAAUUUUGAUGGCUUAAUAUAUUGUUAAAAAAAGAAAGAAAUAGAUGGAGAAGAUUCUGGGAAGAUGGUGGAAUAGGAAGCUCCAGGAAUGUGUCUCUUCACCCAGACGAAGGUGGCAUUGGCACAAGCUGUCUGAGAUAGCACUUUUUUGGAAUUCUGGAGUGUGCACGGCCUGUAACUUCCAGGGAAGGCUUGAAUGAUAAAUUGUAGUUAAUUUUGGUCACUUUUAGCACUUAGUCCAGUUAGCAGCUACCCAUCUCUUUUCCUCAGCCUUGUGGCAGGCAUCUGUGCACAUGUUCCUUGAGCAGCUUACGCAUACUUAGUUGGAGUGGGAGUGGGAAAAGUAUUUUCCAAUACUUCUGGAUUUGUUCUCUGAUCACUCAUUAUUGAUUCUGGUCAUAGAGCUUCAGACAAAGAAACAGGCAGCUAUUGCUGUAAGCCCCCUUCUUCCAGCUGAAGCAACUUCAGGGGACUUAAAGAGCCAGCAUUCUCCACACUCUUAAUUUUUCUCUAUUCCCCUUUUGGGAUCCAGACAUCAAAGACUAGGGACUUAAAAACAACUGAAUAUUAGGAAAGUGAUCACAUUUGCCCAGGGCAAGGCAUAGGCUUGGAAAAGAUCUGAGGAAGUGAUAUCAUGUAUUUGCUUUUCUCUCUUGGGGCUUCACUUAAUAUGAUAUAUUCUUUAGGUCUAUCCAUGUUGCUGAAAAUGGCAUUUUGUUCCUUUUAUGAUUAAGUAAUAUUCAUAUAUAUAAGUACAUAUAUAUGGAAAUAGAUAUAUACACAUCCUCUUUAUACAUUCAUCUGUCAUUGGACGCAUAGGUUGCUUCCAUGCCUUGGCUAUUGUAAAUAGUGCUGCAAUGAACAUUGGGGUGCAUGUAUCUUUUUGAAUUACGGUUUUCUCUCAAUACAUGCCCAGGGUGAAGUUGUUGGAUUAGUUCUAUUUUUAGUUUUUUAAAAGAACCUCCACACUCUUCUCCAUAGUGGUUGUACCAAUUUACAUUCCCACCAACAGUGUGAGAGGGUUCCCUUUUUUUCUGUAUCCAUUCCAGCAUUUAUUGUUGGUAGACUUUUUUGAUGGUGACUAUUCUGACUGGUGUGAGAUGAUACUUCAUUGUGGUUUUGAGUUUCAUUUCUGUAAUAAUUAUGAUAUUAAGCAUAUUUUCAUGUGGUUUUGGCAAUCUGUAUGUCUUCUUUGGAGAAAUGUUUGUUUAGAACUUCUGCUCACUUUUUUUUUUUUUUUUUGGUCUUUUCAGGGCCACAGCUGUGUGGCAUAUGGAGGUUCCCAGGUUAGGGGUGGAAAUCGGAGCUGUAAUUGCCAGCCUAUGCCACAGCCAAGCAUUGUGGGAUCUGGGCCAUGUCUGUGACCUACACUAUGGCUCAUGGUGAUACCAGAUCCUUAAUCCACUGAGCAAAAUCAGGAAUUGAGCCUGCGUGCUCGUGGAUAGUACAUCAAAUUCAUUUCCACUGUGCCACAACAGGAACUCCUAGAUCUUCUGUCCAUUUUUUAAUUGGGUUAUUAUUAUUAUUUUUUAAAUUGAGCUGCUUAAAUAUUUUGGAUAUGUGAAGAGUCAAAAACAUGGAUACAAAUAAAGAUAUUUACAAAAUAAAAUCUUGGAACAGGCAUAGAAAACAAACUUAGGGCUACCAA
RNAcentral lists this long non-coding RNA (4909 nucleotides) under Sus scrofa (pig). Its description in RNAcentral is "lncRNA (ENSSSCG00000042954.2)". Lineage: Eukaryota; Metazoa; Chordata; Mammalia; Artiodactyla; Suidae. The record is from RNAcentral.